This 358-nucleotide unclassified non-coding RNA is filed under the name Hevea brasiliensis (rubber tree). Lineage: Eukaryota; Viridiplantae; Streptophyta; Magnoliopsida; Malpighiales; Euphorbiaceae. The record is from RNAcentral.
CAGUUUCAAUUUUACUAGUACAGGUUGAAACUGCAAAUACAACAGAGAUAAAGCAGUACCAAAUACAAAACUUGUAUAGUAAUUUAGUUGGGAACAUCAACAAUUCUGCGUCUGAAAAUCUCAACUCCCAAAUAAUCCAGAGGACCAUGAACAGCAACAUGAGGCUUCCCAACUUUUACACGGACAGCAGAUAUUUGAGGAUACUUUGUCAGGGUGGUAGAAGCAAUUUGUUGAGCCACUGACUCAAGAAGAUUAUGAGGUGGUCCCUCAACAACCUCCUUAACUAAGCGAUAAAUUUCAGUAUAGCUAAGAGUAUCUGACAGCUGGUCAGAUUUACCAGCUGCCCUGAGAUCCAUCC